This 457-nucleotide ribosomal RNA is filed under the name uncultured bacterium. RNAcentral describes it as "partial 16S ribosomal RNA". It matches the Rfam family "Bacterial small subunit ribosomal RNA", at positions 338 to 795 of the family's 1533-position model. The record is from RNAcentral.
CCUACGGGUGGCAGCAGUGGGGAAUAUUGGGCAAUGGGCGCAAGCCUGAUCCAGCAACGCCGCGUGAGUGAAGAAGUAUUUCGGUACGUAAAGCUCUAUCAGCAGGGAAGAAAAAAAGUCUUUUUGAAUUUGGACGGUACCUGACUAAGAUGCCCCGGCUAACUACGUGCCAGCAGCCGCGGUAAUACGUAGGGGGCAAGCGUUAUCCGGAGUUACUGGGUGUAAAGGGAGCGUAGACGGCAGCGCAAGUCUGGAGUGAAAUGCCGGGGACCAACCCCGGAACUGCUUUGGAAACGGUUCAGCUGGAGUGCAGGAGAGGUAAGCGGAAUUCCUAGUGUAGCGGUGAAAUGCGUAGAUAUUAGGAGGAACACCAGUGGCGAAGGCGGCUUACUGGACUGUAACUGACGUUGAGGCUCGAAAGCGUGGGGAGCAAACAGGAUUAGAUACCCGGGUAGUC